This 253-nucleotide ribosomal RNA is filed under the name uncultured bacterium. RNAcentral's name for it is "partial 16S ribosomal RNA". It matches the Rfam family "Bacterial small subunit ribosomal RNA", at positions 524 to 776 of the family's 1533-position model. The record is from RNAcentral.
UACGUAGGGUGCGAGCGUUAAUCGGAAUUACUGGGCGUAAAGCGUGCGCAGGCGGCUUCGCAAGUCAGGCGUGAAAUCCCCGGGCUUAACCUGGGAAUGGCGUCUGAAACUACGGAGCUGGAGUGUGGCAGAGGGAGGUAGAAUUCCACGUGUAGCGGUGAAAUGCGUAGAUAUGUGGAGGAAUACCGAUGGCGAAGGCAGCCUCCUGGGCCGACACUGACGCUCAUGCACGAAAGCGUGGGGAGCAAACAGG